UGAACGCUGGCGGCGUGCCUAAUACAUGCAAGUCGCGCGAACAGACGAGGAGCUUGCUCCUCUGACGUUAGCGGCGGACGGGUGAGUAACACGUGGAUAACCUACCUAUAAGACUGGGAUAACUUCGGGAAACCGGAGCUAAUACCGGAUAAUAUAUUUAACCGCAUGGUUCAAUAGUGAAAGACGGUUUUGCUGUCACUUAUAGAUGGAUCCGCGCCGCAUUAGCUAGUUGGUAAGGUAACGGCUUACCAAGGCGACGAUGCGUAGCCGACCUGAGAGGGUGAUCGGCCACACUGGAACUGAGACACGGUCCAGACUCCUACGGGAGGCAGCAGUAGGGAAUCUUCCGCAAUGGGCGAAAGCCUGACGGAGCAACGCCGCGUGAGUGAUGAAGGUCUUCGGAUCGUAAAACUCUGUUAUUAGGGAAGAACAAAUGUGUAAGUAACUAUGCACGUCUUGACGGUACCUAAUCAGAAAGCCACGGCUAACUACGUG
RNAcentral lists this ribosomal RNA (495 nucleotides) under uncultured bacterium. RNAcentral describes it as "partial 16S ribosomal RNA". It matches the Rfam family "Bacterial small subunit ribosomal RNA", at positions 30 to 507 of the family's 1533-position model. The record is from RNAcentral.